Thermoplasmatales archaeon I-plasma is the source of this 74-nucleotide transfer RNA. It matches the Rfam family "tRNA". Rfam says of the family: Transfer RNA (tRNA) molecules are approximately 80 nucleotides in length. Their secondary structure includes four short double-helical elements and three loops (D, anti-codon, and T loops). Further hydrogen bonds mediate the characteristic L-shaped molecular structure. tRNAs have two regions of fundamental functional importance: the anti-codon, which is responsible for specific mRNA codon recognition, and the 3' end, to which the tRNAs corresponding amino acid is attached (by aminoacyl-tRNA synthetases). tRNAs cope with the degeneracy of the genetic code in two manners: having more than one tRNA (with a specific anti-codon) for a particular amino acid; and 'wobble' base-pairing, i.e. permitting non-standard base-pairing at the 3rd anti-codon position. The record is from Rfam. NCBI's taxonomy places the organism in Archaea, Methanobacteriati, Thermoplasmatota, Thermoplasmata, Thermoplasmatales.
GGGCCCGUAGCUCAGCUCGGUAGAGCAUCUGGCUUUUAACCAGGUGGUCGUGGGUUCGAAUCCCACUGGGCCCG